RNAcentral lists this ribosomal RNA (311 nucleotides) under Escherichia coli. RNAcentral's name for it is "bacterial SSU rRNA". It matches the Rfam family "Bacterial small subunit ribosomal RNA", at positions 153 to 466 of the family's 1533-position model. The record is from RNAcentral. Lineage: Bacteria; Pseudomonadati; Pseudomonadota; Gammaproteobacteria; Enterobacterales; Enterobacteriaceae.
GAAACGGUAGCUAAUACCGCAUAACGUCGCAAGACCAAAGAGGGGGACCUUCGGGCCUCUUGCCAUCGGAUGUGCCCAGAUGGGAUUAGCUAGUAGGUGGGGUAACGGCUCACCUAGGCGACGAUCCCUAGCUGGUCUGAGAGGAUGACCAGCCACACUGGAACUGAGACACGGUCCAGACUCCUACGGGAGGCAGCAGUGGGGAAUAUUGCACAAUGGGCGCAAGCCUGAUGCAGCCAUGCCGCGUGUAUGAAGAAGGCCUUCGGGUUGUAAAGUACUUUCAGCGGGGAGGAAGGGAGUAAAGUUAAUAC